GUCUACAGAUGAGCUGCCCUUGUGUUAAAUUCCCUUCUCUGACUGGAGCUGCCUGGAUGUGGGGAACAGGCUCAUGUGAAAUAAAACAAGGCUGAAUUUGUUCCCUCUAUAACAUGAUGCUGGACAGUCUUGCUUAGAAGAACUAUUGGACAUGACAAGUCCUAUGGAGAACAAAGCCCAUUUUUAUUUUAUUUUAUUUUAUUUUAUUUUUUGGAGACAGGGUCUGGCUCUGUCAUCCAGGGUAGAGUGCAGUGAUGUUAUCUUGGCUCACUGCAACCCUCACCUCCCGGGCUCAAGCCGUCCUCCCACGUCCGCCUCCUCAGUAGCUGGGACUACAGGCAUGUGCCACAAUGCCUGGCUAACUUUUGUAAUUUUUGUAGAGAUGGGGUUUUGCCAUGUUGCCUAGGCUGAUCUCAAACUCCUGAGCUCAAGCAAUCUGCCUGCCUUGGCCUCCCAAAGUGUUGGGAUUACAGGCAUGAGCCACCAUGCCCAGCCCCUAUUUUUAUUUUAUAGAAGCAAAAUAAUAGAUUAAUACUUCAAUUUACCUUUGUCACAUCUUAUGCCCCUCUACCAUACUAGAGUGUAAGCUCCUUGAGAGCAGAGACAGUGUCUAAUUUAUCACUGCAUUCUCAUUAUCUUGUAAUGCCUAACCUGGUUUUUACUAAAUCUGUUUUUAGACUCUCCCUUUUCCUUUAAUCACCUAGCCUUGUUUCCACAAGCUCCUUUAAAACUGCACCUAAGUCAGGCGAAGCCAUUAGAUUAAUUCUUUUUAUCUACCUCACUUGUUUGUUUUUGCCUGUUAUGUCCUGUGCGCCUUCCUACUCCUUUCUCCUCACCUCUUUCACAACAAGACGUGUAUUUGCAAACACCACUUAGAAGGCCAGUACCUCCAAAGAAGUCUCCUUUGCAGUUAAUUUAUGUGUACUGUUCCUAAAGCCAGCCCGUACCCAUGAAGAGCAACACAAUCUGCUAGUCCCAAAAGCAAGAAGUGUCGACCUUGCAGCAAGAUUUAGAUGCUUCAGAAGCCAAACUAGAUGUAGAAGCUCCAAAGGUGCAGAAAAAGAACUCCAAAAUGUUGACUUUUACCUCUGUCCUAAGAAUCACCCUGAUGCUAGCUGUCAAGAUACUUAUCAGUUUUUCUGCCCUGAUUAGACAUGUGUAACUUUAGCCACCUACUCUAAAAGGUCAACCAGAUCUUCAUUCCAUAACUCGUGCUUCUCGUCCUAAAUUAUGUACUAGAAAAAAUUGUAAUCCUCUUACUAUAACUGUCCAUGACCCUAAUUCAACUCAAUAAUAUUAUGGCAUGUCAUAAAGAUUAAGAUUUUAUAUCCCAAGAUUUGAUAUUAAGACUAUGUUCACCAUCCAAAAAAAAUCCUAGUCUCAUAGAGCCCACCCAAGCCAAUCAAGCCUUUAACUGCUCUGUGACCCUAUGUUCCAGGAACCCCCUGACAAAGUUGAUUUAACUGUUCCUCCACCAUUCUUAGUCAUAAAAGAUACACUCCAAAAGUUCAAAAAAAUCUAAAUAAGCACCAACAGAAAUGAGAAAAUAACAUCCCCUAGUAUCAAAACAUGUUCAACUAGAAACCCUCCUAACUACUUUAAUCACUAAGUUAGCUAGACCUCUUCUCAUCAUACUAUUAAGUUUAAUUUUUAAGCCUUAUAUAUUAAAUUAAUUUCUUAAUUUUAUAAAACAAUGCAUAGCUUCUGUCAAACUUAUGUAUCUUAAGACUCAAUAUAACCCCCUUGUUAUAACUAAGGAAUCAACGUUUUGAUUCCCCAAAAACACAAGUGAGGAAUGUAAUGCCCAACCUGGUUUUUACUAACUCUGUUUUUAGACUCUCCCUUUUCCUUUAAUCACCUAGCCUUGUCUCCACCUGAAUUGACUCUCCCUUAGCUAAAAGAGCCAGACAGACUCCAUCUUGGCUCUUUCACUGGCAGCCCCUUCCUCAAGGACUUAACUUGUGCAAGCUGACUCCCAGCACAUCCAAGAAUGCAAUUAACUGAUAAGAUACUGUGGCAAGCUAUAUCCACAGUUCCCAAGAAUUCGUCUGAUUGAUAACGCCCAAAGCCCCAGGUCUAUCACCUUGUAAUAGUCUUAAAGCCCCUGCACCUGGAACUGUUUACUUUCCUGUAACCAUUUAUCCUUUUAACUUUUUGACUACUUUACUUCUGUAAAAUUGUUUUAACUAGAUCCACCCCCCCAUCCCCUUCCUAAACCAAAGUAUAAAAGUUAAUCAAGCCCUUUCCUUGAAGCUGAGAAAAUUUUAAGCGUUAGCCGUCUUCCAGUCACCAGCUAAUGAAAGACUCUUAAUUUGUCUCAAAGUGUUGCGUUUUCUCUAACUCGCUCAAGUACAACAAUCUCCUGUAGUGCUUGGCACUUAGUAUCUAUUCUGUUACCUAUGGAAUGAAUGAAUGGAUAUAUUAUACCCUCUGCCUCCAAGUUGUCUUAUCAUUUAUGUUUCUCUGUCAUAAACAUAAUUCAACAUAUUCCUUUUGGUUGUUCUCAGACUUUCUUAGCUUUCUUAUAAUUAUAUGCCAUUCUUGUUUUUCAUGACGUUUUACAUCGUGAAUUUCACUUAGAAGAUGAUUAUUUUGGGAUGAUUCCUUCACCUAAAAGAAGCUAAGGGUAAGUGCAUUUAGAGAGAGAUUGUUGAGAACCCUUUAGCCCUAAUGCAUUUAUUCAGAGUGCACUGGACUAUGUCUUUGCAGAACUUGUCAAAUUGUUGUGGUCCUAAUGUCCUUUUAGAGUGUUGUUCUUUGCUGAUUUGUAGUUUCUAAGCAACAUUGUUAGGAUUAUGGAUUUCCAACUCCACUUAACAACUGGUAAAAAUGAUACGUGGGAUAAACUCUAGUCUAAAUUUGUUCUUAGUAGACAUGAGUAGCCUCUGGUUCUGCACACUCAGGCUUAGCCUAAAAGAGGGUUAAAAUAACACUUUGACAACAAGAGCUGUGGGCAUGGAGGAAUGUUAUCCAUUGAAAUGUUUCCUUGAUUUUAAUAAUCUUGACUCAAAUGAGCUCAUGUUAUUUUUAUUUUUAAAGAGCUUAGCACACAAUCUGGCACAGAAUGAAUGUUCGAUAAGUGUUAGCUAUUAUUAUUGUUGUUAUUGUUAACAAAGCAUUUUCCUUUGCAUCUUCUUCCUUAGGUCUUUCUUUCUUAUGAUUCUUUGAUAUCCCAUUACAUGCAAAUACAUCUUACUGAAAAGAUCUGUGAACAAAUGGUUGACUCAUGCUUUUUAUUUUGUGCACUGUUACCCUUUGGUCUUUUUGCCUGCAUGAAGGCUGUUGUCACUCACUAUUGCUAUGGGUUGUGUUGCAGCACUUUCCCAUUACACUAUUUGUACCAUCUUCAUCCCAAAUCAGCCCUGUCUCUUGUUUAUCUUAAUAUGGUCAAUCAGUUGCUACAGCUUCCUCACACACUCAUAGCCAAA
This 3428-nucleotide long non-coding RNA is filed under the name Homo sapiens (human). RNAcentral's name for it is "HSALNT0293303". The record is from RNAcentral. Lineage: Eukaryota; Metazoa; Chordata; Mammalia; Primates; Hominidae.